GGGCCGCUAGCUCAUCUGGUAGAGCACCACACUUUUAAUGUGGGUGUGCCGCGUUCAAGUCGCGGGCGGCUCACCA
Molecule: transfer RNA, 76 nt
Filed under: Candidatus Omnitrophica bacterium CG_4_9_14_0_2_um_filter_42_8
Lineage: Bacteria; Pseudomonadati; Candidatus Omnitrophota
Also listed under: 2 other names
Description: tRNA-Lys
Rfam family: tRNA
About the family: Transfer RNA (tRNA) molecules are approximately 80 nucleotides in length. Their secondary structure includes four short double-helical elements and three loops (D, anti-codon, and T loops).
Source: RNAcentral